Molecule: small nuclear RNA, 330 nt
Filed under: Jaculus jaculus (lesser Egyptian jerboa)
Lineage: Eukaryota; Metazoa; Chordata; Mammalia; Rodentia; Dipodidae
Description: 7SK RNA (ENSJJAG00000001320.1)
Rfam family: 7SK RNA
About the family: 7SK was discovered as an abundant small nuclear RNA in the mid-70s but a possible function has only recently been suggested. Two independent studies have found that 7SK RNA binds the CDK9/cyclin T complex (known as elongation factor P-TEFb).
Source: Rfam by way of RNAcentral
GGACGUAAGGGCAAUCUGGCUGCGGUAUCUGUCACCCCAUUGAUCGCCAGGGUUGAUUUGUCUGAUCUUGCUGGCUAGGUGUGUCCCCUUCCUCCCUCACUGCUCCAUCUGCAUCCCUCCUUAAGAUGUGCGCUUCGUCAAAGAGGACAACCUUGCCAGAACAGAGGAGGUCUGGUCUUUGGGCAAGGGUAUACAAAUAGCUGUGUUCCCAUACCAGAACCUCCAAAAAGGCUCUCAAAUAAGUAACUAAAUAUUUUUUAAGUAUUUUUAUUUGAGAGCAAAUUAGUAUGAAUGAGAAUCAAUAUGCAUACCAGGACCUCUUGCUGUUAU